UCUAAUAUGGCAGAUUAGUGCAAUAAAUUUAAGAUUUAUAAAUAAAAUAACCUUUUUAUUAGAA
This 64-nucleotide transfer RNA is filed under the name Extatosoma tiaratum (giant prickly stick insect). Its description in RNAcentral is "tRNA-Leu". The record is from RNAcentral. Lineage: Eukaryota; Metazoa; Arthropoda; Insecta; Phasmatodea; Phasmatidae.